CAACUCUGGUUCCUCUGCAUUUGACCGUGAAAAUCUUUCGCCUUUUACUAAAGAUUUCCGUGCAAAGGAGCAAAUACUGAGUAUUACUAUCAAUUUUUGGAGCCUCCUCGAAAGAGCGAGGC
Small nuclear RNA from Caenorhabditis briggsae, 122 nucleotides. It matches the Rfam family "U5 spliceosomal RNA". From Rfam's summary of the family: U5 RNA is a component of both types of known spliceosome. The record is from Rfam. NCBI's taxonomy places the organism in Eukaryota, Metazoa, Nematoda, Chromadorea, Rhabditida, Rhabditidae.